Molecule: ribosomal RNA, 269 nt
Filed under: uncultured prokaryote
Description: partial 16S ribosomal RNA
Rfam family: Bacterial small subunit ribosomal RNA
Source: RNAcentral
UACGUAGGAGGCUAGCGUUAUCCGGAUUUAUUGGGCGUAAAGAGGGCGUAGGUGGCUUUUCAAGUCGGAUGUAAAAUCUCCCGGCUCAACUGGGAGGGCCCAUUCGAUACUGUUGGGCUAGAGUGCAGCAGGGGGAGGUGGAAUUCCCGGUGUAGUGGUGGAAUGCGUAGAUAUCGGGAGGAACACCAGUGGCGAAGGCGGCCUCCUGGGCUGCUACUGACACUGAGGCCCGAAAGCGUGGGGAGCGAACAGGAUUAGAUACCCCCGUA